AAGGGCCUCUCCUGAGCUGUGUCCGGGUGCAGGGCUGACCUCGAGCAACCUGAAGCUUCCCAGGGAGCCCCACUAUGAGAACUGUAGCUGGUGAGAGCAAGAGACCUAGAAACACUGCAGGUUUGCUGUGCGUUUUGAACACUAGGGAGGUACAAAGUCGAAGAGACGCAAAGUCAAAAAGCUCCUGGAGGUUUGCAGACUGCUCUUGGAUGGUGAAAGUCACAUUAAAACUGGUGCUGCUGGUGUGCUUUCUCCAAAGAGCAGCGUGCUUCCACAAGGUGAGCAGCUGUCCUACUUUGCUGCGCUUUGCAUUUUCACCCCUGCUGCCUGCACAUGGGCUGACCUUUCCCUUCCCUGGCACACA
Molecule: long non-coding RNA, 364 nt
Filed under: Dromaius novaehollandiae (emu)
Lineage: Eukaryota; Metazoa; Chordata; Aves; Casuariiformes; Dromaiidae
Description: lncRNA (ENSDNVG00000015571.1)
Source: RNAcentral